RNAcentral lists this unclassified non-coding RNA (269 nucleotides) under Hevea brasiliensis (rubber tree). The record is from RNAcentral. Lineage: Eukaryota; Viridiplantae; Streptophyta; Magnoliopsida; Malpighiales; Euphorbiaceae.
GCCUCAUCCAUUUUGUAGCAGACCACUUUUCACCUGACAGAACCUCACACCCUCCAUGUAAGCUUUUAGGAUCUGACUGUCCAUCUAAUCCCAUGCUCCAGAAAAGCACUGCAUCUCCUUUAAUUGGCUUUACAGACAACCCUUUCACAACCUUUCCACCACAAUUGCAUUCGCCUGAUCCAGCCAUAGGAAAAUAUGUUUCUCCACCCUCAACAUUGUCACUUAAGUACAUCAGCAUUGUUGCUACACGCUGCCCACCACGCUUCAAG